Molecule: ribosomal RNA, 397 nt
Filed under: Prymnesiophyceae sp.
Lineage: Eukaryota; Haptophyta
Description: partial small subunit ribosomal RNA
Rfam family: Eukaryotic small subunit ribosomal RNA
Source: RNAcentral
AUUCCAGCUCCAGUAGCGUAUAUUAAAGUUGUUGCAGUUAAAAAGCUCGUAGUUGGAUUUCUGGCCUGACGAAACUGACCCGCCGCGGUUACGUGUGUGAGUGUCGGGCUUCGUCUGCCAUCCUUCCAGAAAACGUUUCUACCCUUCACUGGGUUGGAUUCGCGAUCUGGAACUUUUACUUUGAAGAAAUUAGAGUGUUCAAAGCAGGCUUGCGCUGUGAAUACAUUAGCAUGGAAUAAUAAUUUAGGACUCAGGUCUUAUUUUGUUGGUUUCGAACACCGGAGUAAUGAUUAACAGGGACAGUCAGGGGCACUCGUAUUCCGCCGAGAGAGGUGAAAUUCUCAGACCAGCGGAAGACGAACCACUGCGAAAGCAUUUGCCAGGGAUGUUUUCAUUA